RNAcentral lists this ribosomal RNA (431 nucleotides) under uncultured bacterium. RNAcentral's name for it is "partial 16S ribosomal RNA". It matches the Rfam family "Bacterial small subunit ribosomal RNA", at positions 29 to 507 of the family's 1533-position model. The record is from RNAcentral.
AACGAACGCUGGCGGCAGGCUUAACACAUGCAAGUCGAACGCCCCGCAAGGGGAGUGGCGCACGGGUGAGUACCGCGUGGAUAUCUGCCUUUUGGUUCGGAAUAACCCCGGGAAACUGGGGCUAAUACCGGAUGGUUCCUACGGGAUAAAGAUUUAUCGCCAAAAGAUGAGUCCGCGUACGAUUAGCUAGUUGGUGAGGUAAUGGCUCACCAAGGCGACGAUCGUUAGCUGGUCUGAGAGGACGAUCAGCCACACUGGGACUGAGACACGGCCCAGACUCCUACGGGAGGCAGCAGUGGGGAAUAUUGGACAAUGGGGGCAACCCUGAUCCAGCCAUGCCGCGUGAGUGAUGAAGGCCUUCGGGUUGUAAAGCUCUUUUGGCGGGGACGAUGAUGACGGUACCCGCAGAAUAAGCCCCGGCUAACUUCGUG